Molecule: non-coding RNA, 72 nt
Organism: Phrynosoma platyrhinos (Desert horned lizard)
Lineage: Eukaryota; Metazoa; Chordata; Lepidosauria; Squamata; Phrynosomatidae
Source: the annotation of a GenBank genome assembly
GCCAAUGUGGUGUAGUGGUGUCAGCAUUCGAAUACAAUUCUGAAGACCAGGGUUCAAUUCCCCACUUGGACA